CCUACGGGGGGCAGCAGUAGGGAAUUUUCGUCAAUGGGCGCAAGCCUGAACGAGCAAUGCCGCGUGAACGAGGAAGGUCUUCGGAUCGUAAAGUUCUGUUGAAGGGGAAAAAGAGCGGAGAGAGGAAAUGGUCUCCGAUUGAUAUUACCCUUCGAGGAAGUCACGGCUAACUACGUGCCAGCAGCCGCGGUAAUACGUAGGUGGCGAGCGUUGUCCGGAAUGAUUGGGCGUAAAGGGUGCGUAGGCGGCCUGCGAAGUCUGGAGUGAAAGGUACCGGCUCAACCGGUAUAGGCUCUGGAAACUGGCGGGCUAGAGAGCAGGAGAGGGCGGUGGAACUCCAUGUGUAGCGGUAAAAUGCGUAGAUAUAUGGAAGAACACCAGUGGCGAAGGCGGCCGCCUGGCCUGUUACUGACGCUGAGGCACGAAAGCGUGGGGAGCAAAUAGGAUUAGAUACCCCGGUAGUC
Molecule: ribosomal RNA, 464 nt
Filed under: uncultured bacterium
Lineage: Bacteria
Description: partial 16S ribosomal RNA
Rfam family: Bacterial small subunit ribosomal RNA
Source: RNAcentral